Long non-coding RNA from Rosa rugosa (rugosa rose), 1096 nucleotides. RefSeq lists it as uncharacterized. The transcript is spliced from 4 exons. Lineage: Eukaryota; Viridiplantae; Streptophyta; Magnoliopsida; Rosales; Rosaceae. The record is from RefSeq and is a predicted model, not a curated record.
AAAUUAUAUAUGCAGUCUCAGAUAAGAGUUUUUGCACCUAAUACCUCCUGUUUGAGUUAACAUGCAUGAUUAUUUGGUCGUUCAUCAAUUAGUAGGAAGUGACAAAUGAAACUGGAGACUCUUUUGCAUUGAUUGAUGUAUGACAUAGAAUGAUUCUGAGACUCGUCAAAUCUAUUGUUAAGUACAUACUCCAGAAAACCUCCUUUUUAUUUAUUCUUUCUUUCAAUUCUUAUUAAAUAUAUAGUCAAUUUUGCAUGGCACUACUUGGUAAGCUUUUCACCUGAAGGCCAAGACCACUAUUCCAUCCACCCUUCAAUUCUCAACUGCCUCUCAAGGUUGGGUAGGAAGUUAUUAACCUUUUUAUGUAUGAUCUUAUGAGCUAAUGUUAAUUGUGCUAACAUUGAGUUGCAAGCUGUGGCAUCCUUCUUUGACUCAAUUCCCAAUGAGACUGCAUCCCAAGGAGAAUGGUCUUUUGGCGUGUUGUCAGUCCCUACAAGUCUGCAGCCAUACAGAUUGCGUGUCGUAGUAACUGCUUGGUGGUUGGAAUUUAUAACUAAAAAUCAAAAUCAGAUGUUUGCAUUUUGAACAAGAAACCACAGUUGAAAGAAUAGUACUCUGGAACAGAUGAGCUGGAAUUCAAACCCUAUACAUGACUGAGUCAUUUUGCUGUAUUAUGACUUUGCCCGGCCCCCUUUUCUCUCAAGUCCUUUUUGUAGACUACAUCAUUUCAGGAGCUAAAAUUUUCAUCAAGAUUCUGUUGUGCUCAACCUAAGGUCAAAGGGUAGUUGAUGGAAGAAUGGAUGAAGUGGAAAUGAAAAAGAUACAAGCUGCUAUGAAGUGAAAAUGAAAAGUUACAAGCUGCUUUACCAUGAAAUGUGAUUGGCUCCAAAUCCUCCAAUGGUGUUGUUCCGUCGAGCUACUUAAACAGUUAAACCUGCUUGCCACCAAAUUUUUUUAAAUAAUGACCUUGGUCUGAAGUUGAGCACAGAUAAUUGCUUAGCUUAACCAAAAUUAUGGAAGUAGGUUUUUGUUAUCUUUCGAAGCGGUAAAAACUAUUCUCUGGAACCUUAUGUAAAACUGAAAUACUAGGGUCCAG